GAAUCCCACAGGCCGUAAACCCAAGGUUUCCAGGGGAAGGUUCGUCCGCCCUGGGUUAGUCGGGACCUAAGCUGAGGCCGAAAGGCGUAGGUGAUGGACAACAGGUUGAUAUUCCUGUACUACCGAUAACCGUUUGAGAGAAGGGAUGACACAGUAGGAUAAGCUAAGCACACUGUUGGUUAUGUGUGCCCAAGCAUUGAGGCAGUCAAAGUAGGUAAAUCCGCUUUGAUAAUGCUGGGAUGUGAUGGGGAGCGAAAUUUAGUAGCGAAGUAGCUGAUUUCACACUGUCAAGAAAAGUCUCUAUCGAGGUUAAAGGUACCCGUACCGCAAACCGACACAGGUGGGUGAGGAGAGUAUCCUAAGGCCAGCGAGAGAACUGUUGUUAAGGAACUCGGCAAAAUGACCCCGUAACUUAGGGAUAAGGGGUGCCACCAUCAGGUGGCCGCAGAGAAUAGGCCCAAGCGACUGUUUACCAAAAACAUAGGUUUCUGCUAAGUCGCAAGACGAUGUAUAGGAGCUGACGCCUGCCCGGUGCUGGAAGGUUAAGGGGAUCUGUUAGAGCAAUCGAAGCAGUGAACUUAAGCCCCAGUAAACGGCGGCCGUAACUAUAACGGUCCUAAGGUAGCGAAAUUCCUUGUCGGGUAAGUUCCGACCCGCACGAAAGGCGUAACGAUUUGGGCACUGUCUCAACAACAGACUCGGUGAAAUUGUAAUUCCGGUGAAGAUGCCGGAUACCUGCGACAGGACGGAAAGACCCCAUGGAGCUUUACUGUAGCUUGACAUUGGGUCUUGGUACUACAUGUACAGGAUAGGUGGGAGGCUUUGAAACCAGGACGCCAGUUUUGGCGGAGCCAUCCUUGGGAUACCACCCUUGUAGUACUGGGACUCUAACCAUAGGCCAUGAAUCUGGUCUUGGGACACUGUCAGGUGGGCAGUUUGACUGGGGCGGUCGCCUCCCAAAAGGUAACGGAGGCGCUCAAAGGUUCUCUCAGUACGGUCGGAAAUCGUACGUAGAGUGUAAAGGCAAAAGAGAGCUUGAUUGCAAGACAUACAGGUCGAGCAAGGAUGAAAAUCGGACUUAGUGAUCCGGUGGUUCUGCGUGGAAGGGCCAUCGCUCAACGGAUAAAAGCUACCCUGGGGAUAACAGGCUUAUCUCCCCCAAGAGUCCACAUCGACGGGGAGGUUUGGCACCUCGAUGUCGGCUCAUCACAUCCUGGGGCUGUAGUAGGUCCCAAGGGUUGGGCUGUUCGCCCAUUAAAGUGGUACGCGAGCUGGGUUCAGAACGUCGUGAGACAGUUCGGUCCCUAUCCGUCGCAGGCGUAGGAAAUUUGAGAAGACCUGUCCUUAGUACGAGAGGACCGGGAUGGACG
This 1370-nucleotide ribosomal RNA is filed under the name Clostridioides difficile. RNAcentral's name for it is "partial 23S ribosomal RNA". It matches the Rfam family "Bacterial large subunit ribosomal RNA", at positions 1325 to 2703 of the family's 2925-position model. The record is from RNAcentral. Lineage: Bacteria; Bacillati; Bacillota; Clostridia; Peptostreptococcales; Peptostreptococcaceae.